Molecule: small nuclear RNA, 107 nt
Filed under: Jaculus jaculus (lesser Egyptian jerboa)
Lineage: Eukaryota; Metazoa; Chordata; Mammalia; Rodentia; Dipodidae
Source: RNAcentral
GUGCUCGCUUCAGCAGCACAUAUACUAAAACUGGAAUGAUACGGAGAAGAUUAGCAUGGCCCCUGUGCAAGGAUGACAUGCAAAUUCGUGAAGCGUUCCAUAUUAAA